AAAUUAAGAAAAUAAUGAGAGUGGGGGCUGGGGUGGUUCAGUUGGUUGAGCGUUUGCCUUGGUUCAGGUCAUGAUCCCACUCCCAGAAGUUCCUACAGGCGGGAAAUACAAGAGGUAAGUACUGCUGUGUGGUCACAAGUGAUAGCAUUUCCUGUCCUGAAACAUCAACUGAAUUUGUUCAUCAACAAAUUCCAUCCUUUCUACUUUACUUACUUUAAAUUUACUUUCAGUCUCUAUGAGGAGAUUUGCUUUUUUGGUUUUGUUUUGUUUGUUUUAAUUUUUUUGUUUUCUUUACAGGAGAGCCCUUUAAUUACAGAAAAGGAAAUAAGCAAAAACUUGGCAACAUCAGGAUAUUAUUGGAGAAAGGUUGGGUAGUAUUUGGUGCAGGACACUUAUCAAUCCUAGGGCAGAGCAGGUGUCUUUUCCAUUACCAUCGAUAACAAUGACCAUCAGCCUAUGUUUGACUUUGAUCCCUUUGGUGAAGUCUUCACAUAUAUAUUAUAUCUUGUGUGUCUCUUUGUUCUCAGCCUCAAUUUAAAAUAUAUUAAAGUUAUGUAAAACUUCUGUUAUAUUUUAAAACUUCUGUAUAUUUUAAACUGAGGCUGAUUUGGUUUGAGAAAAUGACAUGCUAUUUACAAUUGCAGUUUAAUAUUUGCACCCUGAUGUGUCUGAAGAACAGAUGUCAGAAGUAGAAACUGUUAAAGAAAAUAGCCUUUUAAACAUGCCAAGUUAAAUUAAAAAAAGAUCAAGCCCAUGAUAGAACAUUAAUGAUGAAAUACCCAUGGUAACUUUCUUUCUUCAAAGAAAUAGUGUAUAAAGAGGUGCCCAUGAUAAUACCUAGCUUUAAAAACCAUGCAGAAAUCGUUGUAUAACUAAAGCUCUGUUUUGGUUUGCAUGGGUUGAUACGUUGGUAUUUUUCCCUCUUCCAUUUUCUUUUUUCUAUACCCCAAUCUUUUACUACUGAAUUUGUGGUGACUUUGUGAUAAAAUUUAGCAAUUAAAAUAAAA
Molecule: long non-coding RNA, 1007 nt
Filed under: Neogale vison (American mink)
Lineage: Eukaryota; Metazoa; Chordata; Mammalia; Carnivora; Mustelidae
Description: Neovison vison (American mink) lncRNA (ENSNVIG00000016279.1)
Source: RNAcentral